AUCAAAAAGACCCUGUUUAAGGAUUUUAUUUCACGCUCUUCUCAGAUGUUUUUGGUACAGUGUCCCUCUUCUUUUUCAAGGGCCACUAGAAGAUGCCAUUGAAGAGGAAGAAGAAGAAUGUCCAUCAGAGGAAACAGACAUUAUCUCAAAGGGGGACUUUCCACUGGAGGAAAGCUUCUCCACAGAAUUUGGGCCUGAAAAUCUGAGUUGUGAAGAGGUGGAAUACUUUUGCAACAAAGGUGAUGAUGAAGGAGUCCAGGAGACAGCAGAAUCAGAUGGGGACACGCAGUCAGAGAAACCAGGGCAACCUGCAGUUGAGACAGACGACUGGGAUGGACCAGGAGAGCUGGAGGUGUUUCAGAAAGAUGGAGAGCGAAAAAUUCAGAGUCGGCAGCAACUUCCAGUGGGAACCACCUGGGGACCAUUCGCUGGGAAGAUGGACUUGAAUAAUAAUUCCUUGGUAUGUGGAUGUUCUGAGAUGGUUGACUCUUAAUACUUUGUCAUGGCACAGAAAUUAUCUCCGCUUGCUUCCUGGUGAAAACACUAAAAGUAACAGUUUGCUUUUUCUUUUUCAUGGACCGUAAAACUGGAAUAUUUUCCAAGUGGUUUGUCUCUGACAGUAUUAAAUGCAGAAUUUAGAAGGAAACAGGUUAAUCACACUGAAUGGUUAUUUAGUAAGGUAAUUUAUAAGAUUGCUUUAUCUUCAUAGCCAGACUAAUAUUGUUCAUAUUUAAUAAUAUAUAUAAAUGCUUUUCUUCUUAAGAUGACACAAAUUGUCGUACAUUACAGGUUUACAUUAUGAACAAGAAAUAAACAGCCUUGAUAUUGCUUGGCAAUUCUAUUUGUACUUUUAAGAGUGAGGAUGAGUGAUCAGCAUCAUAAUUUUUCUUGUUAACUUUUUUGUAAAUAUUCUGAGCUUAGAAAGUCUACCUCUGGGAAAAAUUAUAUGAACGCUUGAUUUGCUAUCUUAAAAAGUUAUGGAAAGAUGGAGUAUUUGGUUACAUUUAAACUUCAUUUCUUAAUUCAAUAUGUUAGUUUCCUAUUGCAGCUCCAGCAAGUUACCAUAAACUUUGUGGCUUAAAACAACCCAAGUUUGUAGUCUUGUAGUCUGAAAUGAAUCAUAAUCUGAAGUGAAUCUAGUCUGAAAUGAAUCUCUCAGGGCUAAAAUCAAAGUGUCUGCAGGGCUUUUUUUGCUGGAGCUUCUAGAAGGUGGGGACAGAUGUUUUCUUUGCUUUUCCAUCUUCUAAAGGCUGUCCACAACCCGUGGCUCAUGGCUCCCUUCCAUCUUCACAACCAGCAAUGGCUGACUGAGUCUUUUACAUAUCUUUAUUCUGACUCUGACUCUUCUGUAUCCCUUUGCACAUUCGGGAAUGCGUGUGAUUACAUUGGGCCCACUUGAGUAAUCCAGGAUACUCUAGCAACUUUAACUCCAGCUGCUUUAAUUUCCUUUUGCCUUGUAAGGUAACCGGAGAAGGCAAUGGCACCCCACUCCAGUACUCUUGAUGGAAAAUCCCAUGGACGGAGGACCCUGGUGGGCUGCAGUCCAUGCGGUCACUAAGAGUCGGGCAUGACUGAGAGACUUCACUUUCACUUUUCACUUUCAUGCAUUGGAGAAGGAAAUGGCAACCCACUCCAGUGUUCUUGCCUGGAGAAUCCCAGGGACGGGGAGCCUGGUGGGCUGCCGUCUAUAGGGUCUCACAGAGUUGGACACGACUGAAGCAACUUAGCAGCAGCAGCAGCAGUAAGGUAACUUGCACAAAGUCCAGGAAUCAGGAUACCAGGACCUCUCCUAUUAUGCGUGAUAAUUCAAGUGACAAAACUUGGGGAUAAAAAUAUUAUAUAUAUAUGAAAUGGAAGUCCCUCUCUCUAAAUGCCAUUUAUGUAGGAAGAGUUUCAUGCCUCCUAAAUGACUAUCUGUAUUGAGGUGGUGGGGGUGGGGGCGUAAGAACUCCCAGAGGAGUUUUAACAAGUGUACUUGACUCAGCAAUGUUGCUUUCCUUUUUCAGUUGAUUACAUGAAAGAAAUCACUUCUUCGGGUUAUUACAUGAAAGAAACUAAUAUGUGCAGAUCUCUGCUUAUUUCGUGCCAUGUGAAUGAGAAAGAUGUUAUUGAUUUAACUAAAAGUAAUGACUGGAAUAAAUAAGAAACAGUUGUGUCAUCCAACUUUUAAACAGCAUAACAGAUUCAAGAAGUGUGCUUUUUACUUUCUAAAUCCUUGUGUUUAUCCGUAAAAGGAUAAAGUAGGAGACUUCACAUGUAUUUAAGAACCAAACAAGUUGACAGACCAGGCUAAAUAUUUAAUAAUCUGGAGUAGUAUACUGUGUGGUGGUCCAGUGUGCCUGCUGCAGAAGGUGUUUGAGAAGUGGCUCCACAAACACUGCUGACCUUCGUGGCUGAGUUGUAUAGUGGACUGUUCUAUUGAUUCCUUUGAUAGGGUGAUACCAGCUAUUAUACUGCUUAAUCAAGCAAAGGCAAGGGGAAGACUGUCUCAACAUCAAAGGUUGAAUUAAAUCCUUUGCAAAACCCAUUUUAUCUGAGUGUUUCUGUUGGUACUCUAGCAUUGCUUUCAAAAUGUUUUAGGCAAUAAGAUAUGUAUCUUAUUUAUCACUGUAUAUCAGACACCAACACAAACUUUUGUCAUUUGCCUAUUUCUUCAAAAGUGUAAUGCCGCUUAGGUGUCAGCUAUUGUUAAUGUAAGAAACACAUGUUUUCCUUUUUAUUAUAUCAACAUAAUAUCUCUAUGAAAAUGUUAUUUUUAAUUAAUCUUUAUAUCAUGAUAUACAUAUAGAAUGAUGCUUUUUAUACAUCUUUAGCAUAUGCUAAAUUUUGAUGUAUGGAAAGUAAACCUAUCUGUGGAAGUUCAAUUUUUCAAUGAAAUAAUUUCCUGUUUUUUAGACAUGAUAUAAUUUUUUUUCAUAUUUCUGUAUCACUCUAAAGCUAUCUUAUGCCAUACUUAAUAUCAUUUAAGUAAUUUGGUUAUAAGUGUGACAUUGUAGUAUUCUUGGUACUAUUUGAAGUGAAUGGAUACUGUGUAGUGUAUCAAAAACCCAGUCGUGGU
This is a long non-coding RNA of Capra hircus (goat), 3058 nucleotides long. Lineage: Eukaryota; Metazoa; Chordata; Mammalia; Artiodactyla; Bovidae. The record is from Ensembl.